Molecule: long non-coding RNA, 553 nt
Filed under: Zostera marina
Lineage: Eukaryota; Viridiplantae; Streptophyta; Magnoliopsida; Alismatales; Zosteraceae
Description: long non-coding RNA (ZMAR_LNC001555)
Source: RNAcentral
UACGGGUAAGUUAGUACCUUAGAGUAUCAAGGAACUCUUAAAAACCUCUCUAAGCUUUAAGGCUACUUCGCUUAGGAACCAGUCUUUUACGGGUAGACUCACACCUUAGAGUAUCAAGGGCACUCUUAAGAACCUCUAACUUUUACGGGUAAGUUAAUACCUUAGAGUAUCAAGGAACUCUUAAAAACCUCUGAAAUCUUUAAAGGUAGACUCAACCUAAGAGUUUUCUCGGAAACUCUAUAAAAUCAAACUAGAGCUUUAUGGUUGAGCUCACAAACCUUCUCUAACACUUUGGUACUAUUGAGACAACCCUCUCAACCAAAGUGGACACACACAAGAAGUGAUUAGAGGAGUGGAAUAUUAAAGCAAACAACACUUCUUACUUGUAAAGAUGAACAAGAAGAUUAGAAGAAGAAGUUGGAGAGCUUUUGAAGCUUUGGAAAGCUAGAACACUUGAGCACUUGAAAGCUUGGAAGCUUGGAGGCAAAAACGUGUGGGCAAGUGUGGAGUGAAAGCUCUUGAGUUUGCUUGUAGUGUGGUGAGUGAAAAUGGG